AAUUUCUUAGGAUAUUAAAGUUUCCAAAUUUAUGCACAUGGCCAGCAAUGCGGAAGGUGGGUAAGUCAUAUCAACGACAAGCAUUCUUUAUUGGCACUUUAUUUCGUUGACAUAGAAAAAAAAUGAAAGGCAAAGCUGACCUGAGUAGGAUCUGAACUCAGGCCAUGCAUUACUAUAGAAAGUUAAUGAGAAAGCGUGACAUGCAUUUGCUUUGGGCCAAUUUUUCAACCUGUCAUUUUGGAGCUAAGGAGCAACCAAAUUCAUCAAGAAUAAAGUAGAAGCAUAGAAUCCAAAUCACCGCAAAAGAUAACCCUUGCUUGUGAGAACAUGACGAAAUUGUGUUGCAGUUCCAUAAUAGGAUGUGAUUUUGCGAAGGAACAAAGAUGACAAGAUACAUUUGGUUACAUGUACAUAGGUACUUUAUCCAAGUGUCCACUCAAUGCUCACUUCAAAGAUACAAGGGUCAACUCAAAGCAACACUGAAAUUGAGUCUAAAUUGUUUGAAACACAAGCCUGAGACCGUACCAAGUGGAAGUGUUCCAUCACCAUCAGAACCAAAAACUUUGAAGCCAUCAGAAGAGAAAUGGAAGAAAUCAAAUGACAGGAGAGAAAGGUUUGACACAAAUCAUCCUCAUCCUUCGCCAACAUUACCAUGCAGUCAAUGCCAUUGACCCUUCAAUGCAAGAACUGGUCUACAGAGUCAAUAACGACGUCACCAUAAAGGAAGCAUUCAGCAAAGAAGAAACUAAAUUCUUGGAUUCAAGAUAAAGCCAACGACAACAUUGUGCAAUUUAGCUGCUGCCAAAAAUUCAUAGACCUUUAAGUUUCAUCACACACUUCAUGAGAAUGUUCUAGUGUCAAGUUUCUUUUCUUUUUUUUAUUCAAUUUCAAAGGACACGUCUAAAGGUAAUCAAAUUUAUUUCCAAUUUAAUAAAAUUAUUAUUAUUUUUUUUUUUGUAGUAUAAAAUAUUGAGUUAAUCCAUUACAGAGUUUAUAAGGUAGGAGCUUAACCCCACUUUCCAAGAGUUAAGUUGAUAAACGAUCUCCUCCCCCUUGCUAAGGACUACAGUCAAUCACUAGGUGCUUAUUUUCCCCAGACAGGUGAACUGAGACAAUCAAUGCAGAAUUAAAUAUCUGCUAGAAACACUUUUUAAGUCAGCAAUCUAAUAUCUUAUUGUUCCACCCUUGUUCCACCCCACUAAGUAGUUUUUAAAGAAUAAUACUUUGAGAGAUAAAAUCAAUGUCCAGGAUAAGAGGAUAUUAAUACAAAUGAAAUAUUAGAUACUGAUACAACCGAUAGCUAGUCGUGUAGCCCCAAAUGUAAUAGGUCUAUGAUCAGCAGGCAUGAACAAACAGCCUGUUA
Long non-coding RNA from Octopus bimaculoides (California two-spot octopus), 1363 nucleotides. NCBI's taxonomy places the organism in Eukaryota, Metazoa, Mollusca, Cephalopoda, Octopoda, Octopodidae. The record is from RefSeq and is a predicted model, not a curated record.